This 228-nucleotide ribosomal RNA is filed under the name uncultured bacterium. RNAcentral describes it as "partial 16S ribosomal RNA". It matches the Rfam family "Bacterial small subunit ribosomal RNA", at positions 118 to 346 of the family's 1533-position model. The record is from RNAcentral.
UGAGCAAUCUGCCCUUCACAUCGGAAUAACCAUUGGAAACGAUGGCUAAUACCGAAUAUGACUUCGGAUCGCAUGAUCGGAGGUGGAAAGCUCCGGCGGAGAAGGAUGAGCUCGCGGCCUAUCAGCUAGUUGGUGUGGGUAAUGGCCCACAAGGCGACGACGGGUAGCCGGCCUGAGAGGGUGACCGGCCACACGUGGGACUGAGACACGGCCCAGACCUCUACGGGA